Non-coding RNA from Podarcis lilfordi (Lilford's wall lizard), 1807 nucleotides. The record is from the annotation of a GenBank genome assembly. NCBI's taxonomy places the organism in Eukaryota, Metazoa, Chordata, Lepidosauria, Squamata, Lacertidae.
CCGUGAUGUGCCUGCGCAAUCAAGAUUGGCAAAGCAACAGUGCGGUUGGUGUGAGAAAAGCAAGGAAGUUGCCUCAGUUUUGGGAGCGGUGGCUGUGCUUAGCAAUCUUUCGCAACAAAAGCAACUCGCCUCAUUAGGUUCGAAGCGCUUUUAUAAAGGACUUAAGCUUUAUAUCAAAGUCCCGUCCCCUCCCCGCGCAGAGCCACAAUUCCUAGCCCGCUUAAACUACAGAUCCCAGGAUUCUUUAGGGAAAGCUUUAAAUGUAUGUUGGGUAUCCAGCCUGUGGCACCUUAAAGGUAAAGGGACCCCUGACCAUUAGGUCCAGUCGUGGCCAAUUCUGGGGUUGCGGCGCUCAUCUCGCUUUAUUGGCCAAGGGAGCCGGCGUACAGCUUCCGGGUCAUGUGGCCAGCAUGACUAAGCCACUUCUGGCGAACCAGAGCAGUGCAUGGAAAUGCCGUUUACCAUCCUGCCGGAGCGGUACCUAUUUAUCUACUUGCACUUUGACGUGCUUUCAAACUGCUAGGUUGGCAGGAGCAGGGACCGAGCAACGGGAGCUCACCCCUUCGUGGGGAUUUGAACCGUGACCUUCUGAUCGACAAGUCCUAGGCUCUAUGGUUUAACCCACAGCGCCACCCACGUCCCUUAAAGACACCUUAAAGACGAAUAAAUGCUGCAAUCGUUAAGCCUCAUUGAAUUUGAUAGGACUUAUGAGCAGGCAUGAGAAGGGUUGCACUGCUAGUCUGUAAAAUAAGAUAUUCAGAAGUGGCUUGAGUUGGCCAUAAACAACCUGACAUGAAUGCUGGGUUGACGGUUAUGCAUUGCUUUUACAUUGCUACAAAUUCCCUUGAGCAUACUUGCAAAAAAAUAAAAAUAAAGCUCCAGCCCUAUACAGAGUUACUUUUAACUUUUAACACUGAAUUUAGGGAGCUUACCUCUUGAGUAAACAUGCACGACAUCACACUUCCAUCUAUUAAAUAAAGCUGCAGUCCUAAAUAUAUUUACUAAGGACAGGACCAUAAUAGUUAUCACUGGACACCAAUACUUAUUUCAGAAAAACCAUGCAUAUAAUUGCACUGUUGCUGGACCCACCUCAACUUUUUGAGGGGCCCCAUUUGCUGCUCCCCUUCUCACUACAUUUGUUCCUCUGGCCCUGCACUAAAACCACAUGCAGAGUGCUAUCCUGUUUAUGUUCACUCAGAAGUAAGCCCAACUAUGUUCAGACACACUUACCUAUUAGUAAGUCCCAUUGAACUCAGUGGGGCUUACUUCUGAGUAAGCAUGUAUUGCAUUGUGAAAACAUUGGCAGUAUUGAUAGACAAUUUCCUUUCUGUUUCCAUAGCAUUCGCCUAUCCAUUCUUAAGGAAAUCAGCCUUGAGCGCUCACUGGAAGGACAGAUCGUGAAGCUGAGGCUCCAAUACUUUGGCCACCUCAUGAGAAGAGAAGACUCCCUGGAAAAGACCCUGAUGCUGGGAAAGAUGGAGGGCACAAGGAGAAGGGGACGACAGAGGACGAGAUGGUUGGACAUUCUCAAAGCUACCAGCAUGAAUUUGACCAAACUGCAGGAGGCAGUGGAAGACAGGAGGGCCUGGCGUGCUCUGGCAAUAAACCAUGGGGUCACGAAGAGUCGGACAUGACUAAACGACUAAACAACAACAACAAUAUGGCCACUCUGGGCAAACUAAUGACUGCCUCCCUUCUUGCCUGUAUUUUGGCAAAGAAGGAUGGCUUGAUCAUCUCCACUUGACUGGCUGCUGCAGAAGCUGGCAAAUAACUUCAUUGGAAGCCAUGUUCCAUGCAAAUGUAAGGU